This 341-nucleotide unclassified non-coding RNA is filed under the name Bombus terrestris (buff-tailed bumblebee). Its description in RNAcentral is "misc RNA ENSBTSG00005024528.1". Lineage: Eukaryota; Metazoa; Arthropoda; Insecta; Hymenoptera; Apidae. The record is from RNAcentral.
AGAAAGUGAUUAACUCUGCGUCAGUUAGGACUCGUAAUACAACUGAUAACGAGCAAGGAGUAUAAAUAACGUUUUCUCGUUUGACAUUUGAUUUUUGAGAAAAUUGAGUUUGUGAAACUGUAGCAUACACUUUGAAUACCAAACAUCCAAUUGCAAUAAUAAAAACAGAUAUGCAGCAACGUUUGUACAGGAUGUUCCGGAACGUGUGGCCAUAACUUCACUAAUGAAUUCAAUGCACUAAAAACGACGUUCAAAAUGUUUGUCCUAUCCGACCUUGUUUCUGAAGUAUAACCAAGUUUCCAUAGUUAAACAGUUCUUGAAUGAGAGAUUUGUAAAACAUU